RNAcentral lists this ribosomal RNA (374 nucleotides) under uncultured organism. Its description in RNAcentral is "partial 16S ribosomal RNA". It matches the Rfam family "Bacterial small subunit ribosomal RNA", at positions 527 to 896 of the family's 1533-position model. The record is from RNAcentral.
GUAGGUGGCAAGCGUUGUCCGGAAUUAUUGGGCGUAAAGCGCGCGCAGGCGGUUCUUUAAGUCUGAUGUGAAAGCCCACGGCUCAACCGUGGAGGGUCAUUGGAAACUGGAGAACUUGAGUACAGAAGAGGAAAGCGGAAUUCCACGUGUAGCGGUGAAAUGCGUAGAGAUGUGGAGGAACACCAGUGGCGAAGGCGGCUUUCUGGUCUGUAACUGACGCUGAGGCGCGAAAGCGUGGGGAGCAAACAGGGAUUAGAUACCCUGGUAGUCCACGCCGUAAACGAUGAGUGCUAAGUGUUAGGGGGGUUUCCGCCCCCUUAGUGCUGCAGCUAACGCGUUAAGCACUCCGCCUGGGGAGUACGGCCGCAAGGCUG